AUGCCAGAAGGGGUUAAUGAUACAGCGAUCGUCCUCAUUCCGAAAGUCCCUCAUCCCAAGGAGCUCAAGGACUUCAGGCCGAUCAGCUUAUGCAAUGUAAUUUACAAACUGGUUUCUAAAUGCUUGGUUAAUCGUAUCCGUCCCUGGCUGUCGGAGCUGAUUUCUAAGAACCAAAGUGCUUUUAUUCCGGGCCGGCUCAUCUCGGAUAAUUCUAUUAUUGGUUUCGAGUGCAUCCAUCACAUACAGUCUCUGAAGAGUAAAAGUCGGGCGGCCUGCGCGUACAAACUCGAUCUCUCGAAGGCAUACGAUCGGGUCGACUGGGACUUUCUGGAGAAGGCUCUUAGUAGAUGGGGUUUUCCUGAGCAGUGGAUUGCCUGGAUAAUGACGUGUGUUAAAUCAGUCUGA
RNAcentral lists this ribosomal RNA (405 nucleotides) under Triticum aestivum (bread wheat). Its description in RNAcentral is "partial small subunit ribosomal RNA". The record is from RNAcentral. Lineage: Eukaryota; Viridiplantae; Streptophyta; Magnoliopsida; Poales; Poaceae.